UACGUAGGUGGCAAGCGUUGUCCGGAUUUACUGGGCGUAAAGAGCGCGCAGGCGGUCGUUCAAGUCGCGUGUGAAAGCCCCCGGCUCAACUGGGGAGGGUCACGCGAUACUGAUCGACUCGAAGGCAGGAGAGGGUAGUGGAAUUCCCGGUGUAGUGGUGAAAUGCGUAGAUAUCGGGAGGAACACCAGUGGCGAAGGCGGCAUGCUGGCGCAUUCCUGACACUGAGGCGCGAGAGCGUGGGGAGCAAACGGG
This 253-nucleotide ribosomal RNA is filed under the name uncultured bacterium. RNAcentral describes it as "partial 16S ribosomal RNA". It matches the Rfam family "Bacterial small subunit ribosomal RNA", at positions 524 to 776 of the family's 1533-position model. The record is from RNAcentral.